This 237-nucleotide ribosomal RNA is filed under the name uncultured bacterium. RNAcentral describes it as "partial 16S ribosomal RNA". It matches the Rfam family "Bacterial small subunit ribosomal RNA", at positions 15 to 245 of the family's 1533-position model. The record is from RNAcentral.
GAUCCUGGCUCAGGAUGAACGCUAGCUACAGGCUUAACACAUGCAAGUCGAGGGGCAGCAUAUUUCUAGCAAUAGAGAUGAUGGCGACCGGCGCACGGGUGAGUAACACGUAUCCAACCUGGCCUUAUACUCGGGGAUAGCCUUUCGAAAGAAAGAUUAAUACCCGAUGUUAUAGUCUAACCGCAUGAUUUGACUAUAAAAGAUUUUCGGUAUAAGAUGGGGAUGCGUUCCAUUAGA